Molecule: ribosomal RNA, 425 nt
Filed under: Duttaphrynus melanostictus (Asian common toad)
Lineage: Eukaryota; Metazoa; Chordata; Amphibia; Anura; Bufonidae
Description: partial 12S ribosomal RNA
Rfam family: Bacterial small subunit ribosomal RNA
Source: RNAcentral
CUUUUAUUUACACCCAAUCGCCAGGGAACUACGAGCUAAGCUUAAAACCCAAAGGACUUGACGGUACCCCAUAUCCCCCUAGAGGAGCCUGUCCUGUAAUCGAUAAUCCACGUUAAACCUCACCAUUUUUAGUUAAUCAGCCUGUAUACCUCCGUCGUCAGCUUACCACGUGAGCGCCAAUUAGUGAGCUUAAUGUUUUUCACCAAUACGUCAGGUCAAGGUGCAGCAAAUAAAGUGGGAAGAGAUGGGCUACACUCUCUAUUUUAGAAAAAACGAAAAACUACCUAUGAAACCUAGUUAGAAGGCGGAUUUAGCAGUAAAAAGGAAUCAGCAUGUCCAUUUUAAUCCGGCACUGGGGUGUGUACACACCGCCCGUCACCCUCUUCAAAGCUUCAAACACAGUUUUUAACAAAUUUAAGCACGAC